UACUCGCAGUCUGGAGUGGCGUAAGGGUGCGUAACACGUGGGUAAUUUGCCUGGAAGCCCGGGAUAACUCCGAGAAAUCGGAGCUAAUACCGGAUGUGAUCAGGGGUUGGCAUCAACUCCUGCUCAAAGUCGGGGACCGAAAGGCCUGACACUACCAGAUAAGCCCGCGGCCUAUCAGCUAGUUGGCGGGGUAACGGCCCACCAAGGCUAAGACGGGUAGCUGGUCUGAGAGGACGACCAGCCACACUGGAACUGAGACACGGUCCAGACACCUACGGGUGGCAGCAGUCGAGAAUUUUUCACAAUGGGGGAAACCCUGAUGGAGCGACGCCGCGUGGGGGAUGAAUGGCUUCGGCCCGUAAACCCCUGUCAUUUGCGAACAAACCUGGUGGCUGAACAAGCUGCCAGCUGAUAGUAGCAGAAGAGGAAGGGACGGCUAACUCUGUGC
Molecule: ribosomal RNA, 448 nt
Filed under: uncultured Verrucomicrobiota bacterium
Lineage: Bacteria; Pseudomonadati; Verrucomicrobiota
Description: bacterial SSU rRNA
Rfam family: Bacterial small subunit ribosomal RNA
Source: RNAcentral